This is a long non-coding RNA of Mus musculus (house mouse), 1888 nucleotides long. RefSeq annotates it as predicted gene 27204. The record is from RefSeq and is marked validated. The transcript has 3 exons. Lineage: Eukaryota; Metazoa; Chordata; Mammalia; Rodentia; Muridae.
AAAGAAAGGUUGGUUCUCCCAGCUCACAAGAGCUCUGGGGGCCUGGCAUCCUCUUCGUAGGGUCCUCUAGAAAGGGACCGAGUUCCAAGUGAGGCCCAUCAAGGAGGAGAGAUGUGGACUUUACCCCCCAGCAAAGGCUGGAGGGAGUGAAAGCGGACAGACCCACACCCACUUCUGCAUUCCUUCCUGCUCUCCCUCCGGCUCUCUGACUCCGGUGGGCCUCCUUCCCGGCUUCAGCUGGAAUUCCUAAAGCAAUUCCGUAGAGCCCCUCCCUGCCCUCCUGUUUUCUCCGUGGAUUCCUGACUCGCUCAGCUCAGCCAGAGUGCUCCGGUCUGUGUCCUUAGGGCUCCGGAGGUGCAGGUGAUGGGAUAAACUGAUUGGCACACAGCAGGGAUACUGUGGCUGCUGAAUGGACUAUUAUGAUAAGAAACGGAGUGAGUGGAAUGGUACCACAGCACAGAGGGAGCCAACAGCAUCAGACUUGUCCUUGACAGGCAUGCCUGGCUUCAGAUCUGCCAUGAAGAGCCAGGACGUGGCAGGAUCCAGGAUGCUCUGGUCUCAUCCUUAGCCCAGCUUUGAACACACUGCUUGGACAGGCUUCUCCUGCCUAAGAUUUGACAACUGUUCAGUCAGGGACAAGACUGAGCAAACACAUCAGAGGCAGGAGGAUUGCUUCCAGCUGCUGAGACCAGGCAGGCCUCCAGGACACGCACUGUCUUCUGCCAUUCACCCCCAUCGAUGAAGAACGACCUCCCAAGACUUCAAAGGACUCUGGAACUAAGCUGAUAACAGAGCAACUGGAGAGCCCCUCCCCAGCUAUGUUCCUUGGAGUACUUCAGCAUUGACUGUGUGUAGGAAUUAGGAUCUCUGUUGUGCCCCCUCCUCAGGGUGUGUGUGUGCACUUGCACACACACAGAUACACAACUACUAUUGUGCAUAUGUGGAGGUCAGAGGACAACAUGGUAUCAAAACUGGCUUUCCAGCUGUCUCUCUUGUUUGUUCUUUUCGGCUAUGUACCCAAGGCUAGUCAGCCUGCAAGAGCCAGCCAUUCUUCCCUCUUUGCCUCCCGUCCUAGCAGAUGGUGCUCAGAUUACAGCCACUGAUGCUACUGUGUCCAACCUUUACCUAGGUUCAGGGGAUCUAAACUCAGGUUGUAAAGCCUGACACUGUAUUAUUUAUGGUUGAAUACAAUUCCAUUGUGUCUAUGUAUCACACUUCCACUGUCUGGUUGAUGGAUACUGCAACACGGUGCAGCAACCAGCUCGGGUGUUUCUGUGAUGUUCUCAGCUUCGCCUGGGUGCUCUCCCAGGGCAGUUCUAGUUUCAGAGGACCUCUUCCAGAGGACCUGAGUUCAAUUCUCAGCAACCACAUGGUGGCUCAUGACCAUCUGUAAUGGCUUUCAGGAGUACAUGCAGAUAAAGCGCUCAUAUAAAUAAAUUAAAAACUAAAAAAAAAAAAAAAGCAUUUGGUAGUUUGGGUUUUUUUUUUUUUUUUUUAAUUUAUUUGUUUUAUGUGAGUCCACUGUCCCUGUCUUCACACACCAGAAGAGGGCAUUGGAUCCCAUUACAGAUGGUUGUGAGCCACCACGUGGUUGCUGGGAAUUAAACUCAGGACCUCUUGAAGAACAGUUCAUGCUUUUAAGGCUGAGCCCUCUCUCCAGCCCUGUUUUGUUUUUCAAGACAGGGUUUCUGGGGCUGUCUAGAUAGGUCAGUGGUUAAGAGCGCUGACUGCUCUUCCAAAGGUCCCGAGUUCAAAUCCCAGCAACCACAUUGUGGCUCACAAAUAUUCCUUAACAUCCCUAACAAAAUCUGAUGCCCUCUUCUGGAGUGUCUGAAGACAACUACAGUGUACUUACAUAUAAUAAAUAAAUAAAUCUUUAAAAAAUUUU